Molecule: non-coding RNA, 185 nt
Filed under: Eubacteriales bacterium
Lineage: Bacteria; Bacillati; Bacillota; Clostridia; Eubacteriales
Description: 6S RNA
Rfam family: 6S / SsrS RNA
About the family: E. coli 6S RNA was the first non coding RNA to be sequenced, but its function was unknown until recently. It consists of 184 nucleotides that fold into an extended hairpin structure with a large single-stranded internal bulge.
Source: RNAcentral
AAAUUCCUGGGGUGUGCGAUACUCCCGUUAUUUUGAACCUACAUUUACUUUUCAUGGGAUUCUUAUAUCGCUGUUUUUAAUGUCAGGCCCCCUUAAUUGCCAGGGGAAGGCAGAGAAAGCAGCUGCGGUUACCCACCUAGCUUGGCUAGGAGUCAAAAUAUGGGAAACGGCACUUUGGGAAUAAA